Molecule: transfer RNA, 74 nt
Filed under: Weissella confusa
Lineage: Bacteria; Bacillati; Bacillota; Bacilli; Lactobacillales; Lactobacillaceae
Description: tRNA-Asp
Rfam family: tRNA
About the family: Transfer RNA (tRNA) molecules are approximately 80 nucleotides in length. Their secondary structure includes four short double-helical elements and three loops (D, anti-codon, and T loops).
Source: RNAcentral
GGUCGCAUGAUCUAGUUGGUUAGGACGUUCGCCUGUCACGCGAAAGAUCACGGGUUCGAAUCCCGUUGUGACCG